This 94-nucleotide transfer RNA is filed under the name Nitrosopumilus sp. b3. RNAcentral's name for it is "tRNA-Glu". The record is from RNAcentral. Lineage: Archaea; Thermoproteati; Nitrososphaerota; Nitrososphaeria; Nitrosopumilales; Nitrosopumilaceae.
GUUCCAGUGGUGUAGACCGGUCAAGCAUACUGCCCUUUCAAGGCAGUGAUCCCGGGUUCAAAAUCUAUCGAUGAAAAUCCCGGCUGGAGCACCA